This 332-nucleotide ribosomal RNA is filed under the name uncultured Bacillota bacterium. Its description in RNAcentral is "bacterial SSU rRNA". It matches the Rfam family "Bacterial small subunit ribosomal RNA", at positions 28 to 351 of the family's 1533-position model. Lineage: Bacteria; Bacillati; Bacillota. The record is from RNAcentral.
GACGAACGCUGGCGGCGUGCCUAACACAUGCAAGUCGUACGGGACUUUCUUGAAGCUUGCUUUAAGGAAGUUCAGUGGCGGACGGGUGAGUAACGCGUGAGUAACCUGCCUUUCAGAGGGGGAUAACGUCUGGAAACGGACGCUAAUACCGCAUAACAUUUCUUUUUCACAUGGGAGAGAAAUCAAAGGAGUAAUCCGCUGAAAGAUGGACUCGCGUCCGAUUAGCCAGUUGGUGAGGUAAAGGCCCACCAAAGCAACGAUCGGUAGCCGGACUGAGAGGUUGAACGGCCACAUUGGGACUGAGAUACGGCCCAGACUCCUACGGGAGGCAG